UUCAACUCAAGAUUACAUCAUCAAGCAAGCUUCAAAUGAAAUUUUGUCCAACAUGAAAGUUGUAUAUCUUUCUCUCCCAUUUCCAAAAAGUCCAAGAUCAUGAAUUUCUCAUGUAUGGUUGGAGAGAUAUGAUCAAAACAUGGCAAGGUGUACUUGAAGAUUCAAAUGUGCAUAACUUCUCAACCAAAGCUCCAAAUUGGAUGGCUCUUUUUU
This 213-nucleotide long non-coding RNA is filed under the name Lathyrus oleraceus (garden pea). Its description in RNAcentral is "Pisum sativum (pea) long non-coding RNA (PSAT_LNC016579)". The record is from RNAcentral. Lineage: Eukaryota; Viridiplantae; Streptophyta; Magnoliopsida; Fabales; Fabaceae.